GUGGAAAGUGGCGGACGGGUGAGUAACGCGUAGGAAUUUACCUAAAGGUACGGAACAACUAAUGGAAACGUUAGCUAAUACCGUAUGAUGCCUCCGGGCCAAAGAUUUAUCGCCUUUAGAUGAGCCUGCGUAAGAUUAGCUUGUUGGUGAGGUAAAAGCUCACCAAGGCGACGAUCUUUAGCUGGUCUGAGAGGAUGAUCAGCCACACUGGGACUGAGACACGGCCCAGACUCC
RNAcentral lists this ribosomal RNA (234 nucleotides) under uncultured bacterium. RNAcentral's name for it is "partial 16S ribosomal RNA". It matches the Rfam family "Bacterial small subunit ribosomal RNA", at positions 88 to 339 of the family's 1533-position model. The record is from RNAcentral.